This 369-nucleotide unclassified non-coding RNA is filed under the name uncultured fungus. RNAcentral describes it as "partial contains small subunit ribosomal RNA, internal transcribed spacer 1, and 5.8S ribosomal RNA". The stretch from base 1 to 73 matches the Rfam family "Eukaryotic small subunit ribosomal RNA", at positions 1759 to 1831 of the family's 1831-position model. The record is from RNAcentral. Lineage: Eukaryota; Fungi.
GCAAACUUGGUCAUUUAGAGGAAGUAAAAGUCGUAACAAGGUUUCCGUAGGUGAACCUGCGGAAGGAUCAUUAUUGAAUAAACCUGACAAGGGUUGUAGCUGACUCUCAGGAGUAUGUGCACACCCUGUCACCUUUAUCUCUCUCCCUGUGCACCCAUUGUAGGCCUGGAUAACUCUCACUGAAAGGUGGAUACAGAGACUGCUGCUGUCUUCUUAACCCAAGGCUAGCUUUCUUUGGAUUUCCAGGUCUAUGAUUUUACAUACCCCAAAUGAAUGUUAUAGGAAUGUUUUUGCAUGGCAUUAUGCCUAUAAAUCAAUACAACUUUCAGCAACGGAUCUCUUGGCUCUCGCAUCGAUGAAGAACGCAGC